This 105-nucleotide microRNA precursor is filed under the name Canis lupus familiaris (dog). RNAcentral describes it as "mir-8834 microRNA precursor family". It matches the Rfam family "mir-8834 microRNA precursor family". The record is from Rfam by way of RNAcentral. Lineage: Eukaryota; Metazoa; Chordata; Mammalia; Carnivora; Canidae. RNAcentral also lists the same sequence under 1 other name.
AGGAGGAACAACCACAGUGGCGGGGCCAGCUCUGGAUCCCUGGAUUCAGACCCCGCAGGAACAACGGACCUCUCAGCCUGCAGGGCCUGGAGGCUCCAGGGACGG